Molecule: non-coding RNA, 98 nt
Organism: Mycena galericulata
Lineage: Eukaryota; Fungi; Basidiomycota; Agaricomycetes; Agaricales; Mycenaceae
Source: the annotation of a GenBank genome assembly
GGCCCAGUGGCGAAUGGUUCGCAUUCGCACCGUAUACACUGUGGGGAUUAUACAGGAUCAUAUAGCGGCACUUCCUGGUUCGAAUCCAGGCUGGGUCC